RNAcentral lists this non-coding RNA (108 nucleotides) under bovine gut metagenome. Its description in RNAcentral is "FMN riboswitch (RFN element)". It matches the Rfam family "FMN riboswitch aptamer (RFN element)". From Rfam's summary of the family: The RFN element is a highly conserved domain that is found frequently in the 5'-untranslated regions of prokaryotic mRNAs that encode for flavin mononucleotide (FMN) biosynthesis and transport proteins. This element is a metabolite-dependent riboswitch that directly binds FMN in the absence of proteins. The record is from RNAcentral.
AUCUUCAGGGUUAGGUGAAAUUCCUUACCGGUGGUAAUACCCCACGAGCCUUAGUGGCAGAUAUGGUGCAAUUCCAUGGGCGACAGUAAAGUCUGGAUGAAAGAAGAU